Molecule: ribosomal RNA, 606 nt
Filed under: uncultured fungus
Lineage: Eukaryota; Fungi
Description: eukaryotic LSU rRNA
Rfam family: 5.8S ribosomal RNA (bases 244-396)
Source: RNAcentral
CUUGGUCAUUUAGAGGAAGUAAAAGUCGUAACAAGGUUUCCGUAGGUGAACCUGCGGAAGGAUCAUUAAUGAGAACUAGGGGUGGCGGCCUUGGCUGCUACUCCGAACACUCCACCCUUUGUUUACAUACCUUUGUUGCUUUAGCAGGCCCGCUUAACAGCCGCCGGCACCUGCUGGUCCGUGCCUGCUAGAGAACCUAAAACUCUUGUUAAUAAUAUUGUCUGAGUACUAUAUAAUAGUUAAAACUUUCAACAACGGAUCUCUUGGUUCUGGCAUCGAUGAAGAACGCAGCGAAAUGCGAUAAGUAUGUGAAUUGCAGAAUUCAGUGAAUCAUCGAAUCUUUGAACGCACAUUGCGCCCUCUGGUAUUCCGGGGGGCAUGCCUGUUCGAGCGUCAUUACACCACUCAAGCUCUGCUUGGUAUUAGGCCUCACCUGCUAAAGGCGGGCCGUAAAAUCAGUGGCGGUGCCAUCUGGCUUCAAGCUUAGUAAUUUUUCUAGCUUAGGAGUACCAGUUGUGUGCUUGCCAGCAACCCCAAUUUUUUUAAGGUUGACCUCGGAUCAGGUAGGGAUACCCGCUGAACUUAAGCAUAUCAAUAAGCGGAGGA